RNAcentral lists this microRNA (24 nucleotides) under Gossypium raimondii (Peruvian cotton). RNAcentral describes it as "gra-miR8698". Lineage: Eukaryota; Viridiplantae; Streptophyta; Magnoliopsida; Malvales; Malvaceae. The record is from miRBase by way of RNAcentral.
AGGGACAAUUAACUUUAACGGUCA